This 227-nucleotide ribosomal RNA is filed under the name uncultured bacterium. RNAcentral describes it as "partial 16S ribosomal RNA". It matches the Rfam family "Bacterial small subunit ribosomal RNA", at positions 8 to 219 of the family's 1533-position model. The record is from RNAcentral.
AGAGUUUGAUCCUGGCUCAGGAUGAACGCUGGCGGCGUGCUUAACACAUGCAAGUCGAGCGAAGCACUUUCGAUGAUCCUUCGGGUGAUUUGAUUGUGACUGAGCGGCGGACGGGUGAGUAACGCGUGAGUAACCUGCCUCAUACAGGGGAAUAACAGUUAGAAAUGACUGCUAAUGCCGCAUAAGCGCACAGGGCCGCAUGGCCCGGUGUGAAAAACUCCGGUGGU